CUGGCGGCGUGCCUAAUACAUGCAAGUCGAACGGUCUUUCUAUGGAAGCUUGCUUCCACUGAGAAGAUAGUGGCGAACGGGUGAGUAACACGUGGGUAACCUGCCCAUAAGAGGGGGAUAACAUCCGGAAACGGGUGCUAGUACCGCAUAGUUUUCUUGAUCGCAUGAUCGGGAAAGGAAAGACGGCCUUUGUGCUGUCGCUUAUGGAUGGACCCGCGGCGUAUUAGUUAGUUGGUGAGGUAACGGCUCACCAAGACGAUGAUACGUAGCCGACCUGAGAGGGUGAUCGGCCACAUUGGGACUGAGACACGGCCCAAACUCCUACGGGAGGCAGCAGUAGGGAAUCUUCCGCAAUGGACGAAAGUCUGACGGAGCAACGCCGCGUGAGUGAAAGAAGGUUUUCGGAUCGUAAAACUCUGUUGUCAGAGAAGAACAAGUUGGAGAGUAACUGCUCCAGCCUUGACGGUAUCUGACCAGAAAGCCACGGCUAACUACGUGCCAGCCGCCGC
This 509-nucleotide ribosomal RNA is filed under the name uncultured bacterium. RNAcentral's name for it is "bacterial SSU rRNA". It matches the Rfam family "Bacterial small subunit ribosomal RNA", at positions 36 to 518 of the family's 1533-position model. The record is from RNAcentral.